Chenopodium quinoa (quinoa) is the source of this 492-nucleotide long non-coding RNA. RefSeq lists it as uncharacterized. NCBI's taxonomy places the organism in Eukaryota, Viridiplantae, Streptophyta, Magnoliopsida, Caryophyllales, Amaranthaceae. The transcript has 3 exons. The record is from RefSeq and is a predicted model, not a curated record.
AUUAAUAAUAAUGUUGAAAUCUGAUCUACUCUGCUCUGCUCUGCCCUGCCCAGAUAGUUAUUUAUGGCUAGACUCUAGUCUAGGCAUCAUCCCCUACACCCCUCUCUAAACACAUCGUUUAACACCCCUUCCCCCAUCUACCUACUUUCAUAGUUUCUGCAGUACUAUACCCUCACAAAAUGCAGCAUACUAUUACUCCCUAAAAUCCUAAAAAAAAAUUCAGUAACUUCCUCUACCCCACAAAUAUAUAUACCCAAAAAAAAAAAAAAAAACAUCUUGUUCUCUCUUUAUUUUCCCUCUCCAUUAUCUCUCUCAUCUAAGCUUUAAAACUUCAACCAUGGCGGACAUUAGAGACGAAGUCAAACAACCGAAGCAAAUUUCACCGAAAAAAAGUAGCGAAAAUCAAAAGAGAAACAAAUUGAUAGUUUAAUAACUGAAAAUGUAUAUAUUUUGGAGAAAUCUAUUUCAGAGAACAGAAACAACGAUUCUUCA